CAGAAUGUAUCGUAAAAUGCUACAAAGUACGAUACUUAAGCAAAAUAAAACAUGAAAUAAAGUAAAACAAUCACAGAAUAAUGUUACGAUUUUCGGUACAAGCUAUACUGAGCUGAUUAUUAUAAGGGAAAGUGUUGUCUGUCGUAUUCACUUGGAUACGGUUGAACCAUGUAAACAAUACUCUUUGUGUGUAAAAUUUGGGAUAUUUUCUGUGUUUGAAGAGUUCUCGCUGUGCGCUGGUCGGCCAUCUUGAAAAAUAAAUUGUGAAGGUCGUAUUUCCAGCUUUCCUGCGAGACGGCAGUUCAGAUGCAGUCGUCCUGUGUGUCAGAAAGCUGGUGAUCAAAAUGGUUGAAGGCAGUACCCAAGAAAGUACAUUUACAAAGUUGUGAGGAGUAACCUAGCCUAUAUAACCUGAAGCUCACCCAAUAUGCAGUGUGUUCUGCUCUGUCAAUAACAAAUGAGAUGCCAUACACAGGGGAUCCGACAGAAGACAGCAGACAAAAUUCGUCGAUGUAUUUGAAAUGUCAUUGUUUAUUUGAAAAAAAGAUACCUAUCCACA
Molecule: long non-coding RNA, 559 nt
Organism: Mya arenaria
Lineage: Eukaryota; Metazoa; Mollusca; Bivalvia; Myida; Myidae
Exons: 5
Source: RefSeq, a predicted model, not a curated record